CACGGGGGGGCAAGCGUUGUUCGGAUUCAUUGGGCGUAAAGGGCUCGUAGGUGGCUUUGUAAGUCGGAGGUGAAAUCCCACGGCUCAACCGUGGACACGCCUUCGAAACUGUGAAGCUUGAGGCUGGGAGAGGAAAUCGGAAUUCCUGGUGUAGCGGUGAAAUGCGUAGAUAUCAAGAGGAACACCUGAGGCGAAGGCGGGUUGCUAGGCUGACACUGACGCUGAGUGCGCGAAAGCCAGGGGAGCAAACGGG
Molecule: ribosomal RNA, 253 nt
Filed under: uncultured bacterium
Lineage: Bacteria
Description: partial 16S ribosomal RNA
Rfam family: Bacterial small subunit ribosomal RNA
Source: RNAcentral